CCUACGGGAGGCAGCAGUGGGGAAUAUUGGACAAUGGGGGGAACCCUGAUCCAGCCAUGCCGCGUGUGUGAAGAAGGCCCUCGGGUUGUAAAGCACUUUCAGUGAGGAAGAACGCCUGGUGGUUAAUACCCAUCAGGAAAGACAUCACUCACAGAAGAAGCACCGGCUAACUCCGGGCCAGCAGCCGCGGUAAUACGGAGGGUGCGAGCGUUAAUCGGAAUUACUGGGCGUAAAGGGCGCGUAGGUGGCUUGAUAAGCCGGUUGUGAAAGCCCCGGGCUCAACCUGGGAACGGCAUCCGGAACUGUCAAGCUAGAGUGCAGGAGAGGAAGGUAGAAUUCCCGGUGUAGCGGUGAAAUGCGUAGAGAUCGGGAGGAAUACCAGUGGCGAAGGCGGCCUUCUGGACUGACACUGACACUGAGGUGCGAAAGCGUGGGUAGCAAACAGGAUUAGAUACCCUGGUAGUC
RNAcentral lists this ribosomal RNA (465 nucleotides) under Vreelandella stevensii. RNAcentral's name for it is "partial 16S ribosomal RNA". It matches the Rfam family "Bacterial small subunit ribosomal RNA", at positions 338 to 795 of the family's 1533-position model. The record is from RNAcentral. Lineage: Bacteria; Pseudomonadati; Pseudomonadota; Gammaproteobacteria; Oceanospirillales; Halomonadaceae.